This 426-nucleotide ribosomal RNA is filed under the name uncultured bacterium. RNAcentral's name for it is "bacterial SSU rRNA". It matches the Rfam family "Bacterial small subunit ribosomal RNA", at positions 354 to 796 of the family's 1533-position model. The record is from RNAcentral.
GCGGGGAAUAUUGCGCAAUGGGCGAAAGCCUGACGCAGCAACGCCGCGUGAGGGAUGAAGGCUCUCGGGUUGUAAACCUCUUUCAGCAGGGACGAUUGUGACGGUACCUGCAGAAGAAGCCCCGGCCAACUACGUGCCAGCAGCCGCGGUAACACGUAGGGGGCAAGCGUUGUCCGGAUUUAUUGGGCGUAAAGAGCUCGUAGGCGGUUUGAUAAGUCGGGUGUGAAAACUCUGGGCUCAACUCAGAGACGCCACCCGAUACUGUCAUGACUAGAGUCCGGUAGGGGAGUAUGGAAUUUCCGGUGUAGCGGUGAAAUGCGCAGAUAUCGGAAGGAACACCAGUAGCGAAGGCGGUACUCUGGGCCGGAACUGACGCUGAGGAGCGAAAGCGUGGGGAGCGAACAGGAUUAGAAACCCGGGUAGUCC